GACAUUUUUACAAUAUCCAGUGAAUGUGAGAUCAUUAGUGGCUGUGGUAUCAAUCAGAUGAUAGUGCUGUCAUUUCCUCACUUGCUUCGUCGUUGGUAGAGUAGAUAAAGGUAAGAAGCAAUACUGUGUUUUGAGAUUCAAGAUGACUAGGUAAUAUAUCCAGUCAUUUAAGGAAAACUGUCACUCACUUUACCUGCUUCAUAAUGCCUUCUAUCUUAGUAGUUUCACAAUCUUACUUUGGAAUGUGCAUGUAUUUGUGUUUCUCAUUUUCAUUUCAUAGGGUUAAUAAUUUUUAAGAGGGAAGAUUGUUUUGUCAUCUAACACAAAAACUAUUCGUAGCACUUGAAGGUUUUCUCAUGAGCUGUAAUAGCUUCAUGCUAAUUGCUACACUACCAUUGCAAAUUAUUAGUUUCUAUUAUUUUGUCCUGAUUGGCAAUUCAGACUUGGAUCUUCUACUGGUCUUCCUCUGAUAUUUUACCUGUUGAUCACUUGCAAAAAUAGAUUAGGUUAGAACAUAGAACAUUAUAGCACAAUACAGACAGGCCUUUUGGCUCAUAAUGCUGUGCCGACCUUUUAGCCUACUCUAAGAUCAAUCUAACCCUUACUUGCCAUGUAGCCCUCCAGUUUUCUAUUGUCCAUAUGUAUAUCUAAGAUUCUCUUAAGUAUCCCUAAUGUACCUGCUUCUACCUCCAUUGAGUCCCACACAUCUACCAUUCUCUGCUCUGUAUAAAAAAACUAACCUUUGACAUUCUACCCCCCCCCCCCCCAUACUUUUCUCCAAUCACCUUAAAAUGAUUGUCCCUCCUACUAGCCAUUUCAGCCUUCGGAAAAACUCACAUGCUGUCUACAUUGUCAAGUCAGCUCCUCCUCCUCUCCAAAGAGAGAAGCCCUAGCUUGCUCAUCCUGUUCUCACAAUGAUAAUGGGAAGAACUUGAAGAUGGAUAAUGCAUUAAAUUAUUUGCAUAUGAACAUACUGCUUUAAAUCAACAAAUUCCUUUAUGUUUAAAAUAAUGUCUAUUUUCCCUUAGAGGUACUUCUAUAUAUUUAUUUAUUUACAGCACAGAACAGCCCCUUCUAACCCAACUAGCAAUCCACUUAUUUAACACUGGCCUAAUCACAGGAUGAUUUACAAUGACCAAUUAACCUACAAACCGGUACGUUUUUGGACUGUGGGAAGAAAUCCAUGUGGUCACAGGGAGAAUGUUAUAAACUCCAUACAGACAGCACCAGAAUUGGACUCUGAUGCCGAGCUGUAAUAGCUUAACGCUAAUUGCUGGUUUCCAAGGACAAAAAUGCCUUGAAUUUAUCCCUUUCAGCCAUCCUGCCCAGCAGCCCCCGAUCUAAUCCUAGCCUAACCACGGGACAAUUUACAGUGACCAAUUGACCAAUCUGUCUUUGGACUGUGGGAGGAAACCCACGUGGUCACGUGGAGAACAUAUAAACUCCUUACAGACAGUGACGGGAAACGAAUCUGGGUCACUGGUAGUGUAAAGCAUUGUGCUAACCAUGCAGCCCCAAAUGCCUUCUUUUAGACAUGUAGCCGUGAGUGGAUGCUUCACACAAUACCAGUUUUUGUUCCUUAUCUGUUUUGCUUAAAAGUUUUAUGUUUUGUUCAAAUCUGACCCAUUUCUUCCAAGGUUGGAUUGCACCCAGAACUGAGUUAGCUCAAUGGCACCAGCAAGUGGAAAGGAAAACAAACAUAAAAUUGGCGGAGUGCAGGAAAUCACUCACACAUCAACUGGAAAAGAUGCAAGAAGAGUAACUUAAAGGGGUAAAAAAUCCUUAAAGCAGAAGCAGUCACUUGCAAUGGCUAGUUUUCUGAGAUACAGCAUGGAAUAGGACCUUCUGACCCUUCAAGUCGCACUGCUCAGCAACACCGAACAAACUUGAUUUAUCCCCAAUCUAAUUAUGGGACAACUUACAAUGACCAAUUAACCUACCUGGUACGUCUUUGAACUGUGGGAGGAAACCGCACCCGGGGGAACAUAGGCAUUCCACAGGGAGGAUGCACAGAGAUUCCUUACAGGUGAGCUCUGAUGCCCUGAGAUGCCAACAGCAUUGUGCUAACCACUUUGUUAGCGUGGAACCCAUGAAGGAUGCCUCCCAGCCUCGUUUGUCCCAAUCUCAUCAGGAAGGAGGCUAUGUAGCAUUCACACCAGGACCACGAGACUCAAAAACUGUUACUUUCCCCAAGAUGACAGGCUGAUCAGCACCCUCCACCAACCCACCUCUUGACCACCACUAUAUGAAUUUCCUGUCAGAGACAUCUUAUGUACAGAUACUACUGUGCCUAGUGUCAAAUUAUGGACAUACAAUCAAUGUAUAUAAGCUAUCCUAUGUACUUAUAUUUAUUGCAUUUUUAUUAUUGUAUUCUUUAUCUUAUCAUGGUACCUUGCACUGUU
Molecule: long non-coding RNA, 2402 nt
Organism: Hypanus sabinus (Atlantic stingray)
Lineage: Eukaryota; Metazoa; Chordata; Chondrichthyes; Myliobatiformes; Dasyatidae
Exons: 3
Source: RefSeq, a predicted model, not a curated record